Papaver somniferum (opium poppy) is the source of this 644-nucleotide long non-coding RNA. RefSeq lists it as uncharacterized. NCBI's taxonomy places the organism in Eukaryota, Viridiplantae, Streptophyta, Magnoliopsida, Ranunculales, Papaveraceae. The record is from RefSeq and is a predicted model, not a curated record. The transcript has 3 exons.
CAAGUCUCUCAUGCAGUGUCACACCGGAGUAUAUGUGAAGAAGCCCUAGAGACGCUGGCUGGAGAAAGAUUGAAGUUUGCACCAACUGCCACCGGCUCUACAAACAACUAGCAAAAUCAUUGAUCGCGCUCAACCAGACGAACCACUAGAUUGAUGUUUGCAUUGCUCAGAGGGGUCACAAAGGUCUGUAACGGCGCCAUAACUCAGAGGGGUAGUCAAGCAUUCAUCAGAAAGUUUCAUUGCUGAUGAAGCAUCUCCACAACCCCUCAGGAGGUUUGCCAGGAGUUACUCUGGAAUUCAGGAAACAUCCACCAGCAUACGCAACUAUCUAAGCAUAAUUGAACAUCCAAGAUUGAGGCAGGAUGCAUAUGCCGUACCUGAUUUCAAACAAAACUAUGAUAAGAUGGCCGACUUUUUAUUCAGUUCAAGUUAAGAGAUUCAUAACGGUUACCGGGCUUCUCCUGCUAUGGAAUCUUUUAUGCCAACUAUUUGCUUAUUGUUACUAUUAUUUGUUGUCCACUUUUAGUUAACACGUGAUUACUAACUGACUAGAUGGUUUCCAGAGCCUUCCUGGCGGUGACCAAAUACUAUUACCAAAAACUCUGAUCUUUCUUAAUUUCUCACUGAUGGGUCUACAUAUGAAG